RNAcentral lists this ribosomal RNA (496 nucleotides) under uncultured bacterium. RNAcentral describes it as "partial 16S ribosomal RNA". It matches the Rfam family "Bacterial small subunit ribosomal RNA", at positions 28 to 507 of the family's 1533-position model. The record is from RNAcentral.
GAUGAACGCUGGCGGCGUGCCUAAUACAUGCAAGUCGAGCGAACAGACGAGGAGCUUGCUCCUCUGACGUUAGCGGCGGACGGGUGAGUAACACGUGGAUAACCUACCUAUAAGACUGGGAUAACUUCGGGAAACCGGAGCUAAUACCGGAUAAUAUAUUGAACCGCAUGGUUCAAUAGUGAAAGACGGUUUUGCUGUCACUUAUAGAUGGAUCCGCGCCGCAUUAGCUAGUUGGUAAGGUAACGGCUUACCAAGGCAACGAUGCGUAGCCGACCUGAGAGGGUAACCGGCCACCCUGGACCUGAGACACGGUCCAGACUCCUACGGGAGGCAGCAGUGGGAAAUCUUCCGCAAUGGGCGAAGGCCUGACGGAGCAACGCCGCGUGAGUGAUGAAGGUCUUCGAUCGUAAAACUCUGUUAUUAGGGAAGAACAAAUGUGUAAGUAACUAUGCACGUCUUGACGGUACCUAAUCAGAAAGCCACGGCUAACUACGUG